AUGUACUAAUAUAUUCUGCUGAAACCAGACAUUGUUUUGUCACAAAGAACAUUUAUAUGGAUGUGACUUUUACAUGUACCACAUGUACCAGCAGCCUAACACUUUUAAAGGUACAGUGUGUGAAUCUCACCACUAGAUGUCAGUAGAUUUCAGAUUCCGGUCAACUGAAUUCUGUUUUCUUACUCCUGGCAAUAAUAAAGGGCCUAGCUUUGGUGGCCACUAAGCUGUCAGCCUGCUGUUUACCUGGGUGUCCAUGUCUGUUUGCUCUGGAGGAGGCUGUAAAGCUUCUGGAAAGGAAUCUACUGAGGUGAGGAGCUGUGUCGAAAAGUCUAAACUUGUUAUGAUACUCUUGGAUAGUGCGUUUGUCUGCCUUGUGCAUGAGGCACUGCCUCAGGGUUACCUCCUGGGCUAACUGUGAUGAAUCCACCCCUGCUUUCACUCUAAACUCGCCCUCCUUUGUGGCAAAACCCAGCCAUGUAAUGAAACCCUAAUGAACCCGUCACUCCAACUGUCACUUAUUCUCACCUGGGUUCACAACAAUGGACAGAG
This is a long non-coding RNA of Oreochromis niloticus (Nile tilapia), 549 nucleotides long. RefSeq lists it as uncharacterized. NCBI's taxonomy places the organism in Eukaryota, Metazoa, Chordata, Actinopteri, Cichliformes, Cichlidae. The transcript has 3 exons. The record is from RefSeq and is a predicted model, not a curated record.